AUGAUACAGGGGGAGCAGGCAGAGUGCGGUGGCGCCUUAGUGAGCAAGCUUGCCAGCGCUGUCUGGAUAAAAGGAUCUUUCAAAGAAUUUCCCGACUUAUGGCAGCAGGAGUGGUUCUAUAUCACCGAGCCCCGCGGUUCCAAGUGGGCAGCUGUGCCUACGUUUCGAUCCAGCCCCCCAAUUCAGCUUGCAUCGUGGAUUAAUAAGGGGUUGGACAGGGGAUCAGUUGAUGAGGUGCCGACUCUGCAAAGUCGCAUCCGAAGCCUCAUUGAAAAGGACAUUGAUACGUCUCCAACGUAUCUAUAA
This 306-nucleotide ribosomal RNA is filed under the name Triticum aestivum (bread wheat). Its description in RNAcentral is "partial small subunit ribosomal RNA". Lineage: Eukaryota; Viridiplantae; Streptophyta; Magnoliopsida; Poales; Poaceae. The record is from RNAcentral.